UUAACGGCCGCGGUAGCCUGACCGUGCUAAGGUAGCGUAAUUCCUUGCCUUCUAAUUAAAGGCCAGUCAACGGUCAAACGUGAGUUAAGCUGUCUCCUGCGGUUUCAAUGGAAAUUUUCCUUUAAGUGAAAAGACUUAAAUACAACUGAGUGACGAGAAGACCCCGUAGAGUUUUAUUAAAGGCUAGUGUUACCAAACCUAGCAACUAGCCGCUUAAUUUAAUUGGGGCAAUUAGAGAAAAAAAGAAACUUCUCUCACUAAAAAACAUUCUAGUAUAAAGCGCUAACAAAUAAUUUAAGGAGAAACUACCUCGGGGAUAACAGCAUAAUUUUACUGGAGAGUACACAUUAAUAGUAAAGAUUAUGACCUCGAUGUUGGAUUAAACAACCCCAAGGGACGUAGGGGUCUUACUGGGGGGUCUGUUCGACCCUUAAAAUUUUAC
RNAcentral lists this ribosomal RNA (442 nucleotides) under Prochaetoderma sp. A NTM-2018. RNAcentral describes it as "partial 16S ribosomal RNA". It matches the Rfam family "Bacterial large subunit ribosomal RNA", at positions 1924 to 2599 of the family's 2925-position model. The record is from RNAcentral. Lineage: Eukaryota; Metazoa; Mollusca; Caudofoveata; Chaetodermatida; Prochaetodermatidae.